This 497-nucleotide ribosomal RNA is filed under the name uncultured bacterium. RNAcentral describes it as "partial 16S ribosomal RNA". It matches the Rfam family "Bacterial small subunit ribosomal RNA", at positions 28 to 507 of the family's 1533-position model. The record is from RNAcentral.
GAUGAACGCUGGCGGCGUGCCUAAUACAUGCAAGUCGAGCGGACGGACGAGAAGCUUGCUUCUCUGAUGUUAGCGGCGAACGGGUGAGUAACACGUGGAUAACCUACCUAUAAGACUGGGAUAACUUCGGGAAACCGGAGCUAAUACCGGAUGAUAUUUUGAACCGCAUGGUUAAAGAGUGAAAGACGGUCUUGCUGUCACUUAUAGAUGGAUCAGCGCUGGAUUAGCUAGUUGGUAAGGGAACGGCUGACCAAGGCACGGAUGGAUAGCCGGCCUGAGAGGGUGGUCGGCCAGCCUGGUAGUGAAUGACGGACCGGCCUGCCACGGGAGGGAGGAGGCGGGGAGGUUUCGUGAAGGGCGGAAGCCAGACGGAUGCAGCGCGCGUGCGUGGUGAAGGUCGUCCGUCGGGUAAAAUACUCUUUUAGGGAAGAACGAAUGCGUAAGUAACUGUGCAGAUCUUGACGGUACCUAAUCAGAAAGCCACGGCUAACUACGUG